CGCUGGUCACACGCAGUCAGCUCUGGCGGGUGCAUUUGCACCACGAGAAGUGAGUUGUUAAACAUUUACCAGCACACACGCUGCAGGGGACCUAAGGAGAGUGAUGGCACUGGAAAGAGGAAUGCUCCUGCUUCUAAUCCUCCUUGAUAGAGGCGCUCCCCUUUUGUUUUUGAAGAAUUUAUAGAAGCUUUUCCACCGGGGAGCUUCAGCUAGGUCUUCUCAUCAGUGCUGUGUGCCAGACAAGCCAGAUGAUCAAGGAAGUACCUACACUUUGGACACUGUCAGUUUGCCUGGGGACUGAGAGCUUACAGUCCAAGCUUGCUUCAACUCUGGCUGAGGCCAACAGAGAGAGCCCAAAGACAACUGAAGGAGCGGCAGAAAACAAAUAUGGGAACGGGGCUUAAUCCCAUCGGGACUAAGGGAGGAGCCUUCCCUUCCAGCCUCACACAGGCAGACUAUCUCAAAAGAAAGAGAAAGCAAUUUUCCCUUGCAUGCUGGCUGUUUCACUUCCUUCUACUUUUAGGAAAUGCUGUAACUUCCAGUGAAAUCACCACGAUCAUCCCCCCAGAUUAACCCCACCUUCCAGUGGAAUCACUGUGACCACCCCUCCAGGAUCAACCACACCAUCCAGCGAAAUUACUGUGAACACUGCCCUGGACCAACCACACCUUCCAGUGGAAUCACCAUGACCACCCCUCCAGGAUCAACCACAUUAUCCAGCAGAAUCACCGUGACCACGCUCCCUGGACCAACCACACCUCCCAGUGGAAUCACUACAACCCCCCUGCCCUGGGUCCACUAUAUCUUCCAGUGGAACUAACACAACAACCGCAACCUCCAGUGUCACCAGCACAAGUGCAGCCCCUCCAGGGAAUGAGGGAAGGUCUAAUGGAUGCCUGAGGCUGUGGGAAGUCAUCCUAGUCACUCUGGCCUUGGUUGCAAUGGCUGUGAUUCUCUUCACAGGGCUCUUUUAUUUCAUGAGUGCCUGAUGUGUGGGAAAUCCUUUUUCUGAGGGAGGGAGUGCAGGGAACUGAGGAGGGAAGCAGGGUAGAGAGAGUAGGGUCAUUGUGUGGCUAAUAGGGAAUGAGAAAUCAGGAGAGGGACAAAGCAAGACAGAGACAGCAGGUGAGAACCAGCAAGAGAGAGGGCUAGAAAAGCUGGUACAUGUUCAGAGGAAAUUGAUGAGGAGAGAAGGGGCCAAAGGAGUACUGAGGCUGGGGAGGCCGAAUGGGGAGUGGGGACACGUGGGAUGGGAGAGCACUGGAAGAGGGGCAUAACUCUGAACCAUCCAUCCUUUUGUUUUCUAGAGAAACUCUCUGUGCCUAAGAAACCUCUUCACCAAAGAUCUUCACAUCCCAAACCUUGGUCCAUGUCCUCAAGGAUAUCAUGGAGUCCAAGAUGGGUCAAGUGAGACUGAAACGGAUUUUAGAGACCAGUGUUCUCCCACAGGCAUGGAGCUGAUGAGGAGACACAGUGUCCCUAAAGGCAGGCACUUCACUGUCCUCAGGGUGGGGAGGACCAGCGGUCUCGGUUUUCCUCACUUGCCCCCAGGGCUGCUCCUCCCAGCUCUGCUCCAGCCCCUGACACUCCUACCUUCUGUUUAGUUCUCCCAGACCUGAAACAGGAGGCUAUCGCUAGUGCUGAAUGAUUAAAUAAGUGCAUCUGCUCUAUGUGACAGCCAGACUGUGGGUGUGUGCUUGUAUAUUGCUGUGAAGAGAGGUUUCCUAUAUCAUGAGGACACUCUUUCGCUGUGACCUCCCAGUUCUCAAAUCCUAGCAUGAAAUCCAGAGACCUCACAUCUGUCCCAUUUUCUUCCCCACUCCUUCCCUGCUCCCCGAGGCCUCUGGGUCGAUGGAAGAACGGAGUCAGGAGAGAUGGGGGAAGGCAGGUGCUGGUCUUUACAGACGUGUGUUGCAUGGCAGGAAAACAGCCUCUGCGUGAGCCUAGAACAUGAACUGGAGGAAAGUGAUCCUGUUUUCAUGUUGUGAGGUAGGAAAGAGCUUGCUACUGGGGCCACCCUUAGACAUGGCCACUUUUCCUGGCCACUCACGUCUGCUCUGGGCUGCAGGUGUGAGUUGCCACCUUUCUCUCCUGUGGGCUCCCAGCCCAGCAACUGUCCUGGGCAGGGAGAAUGUGCUCCCAGUUUUUGCAAGGGCAGGACUGGCUUGCCCUGCUACGGUCUAGAUCCUCAGCAGCUCCCCCAAAACCAGGCCUCAGAGGGCACACAUGCCAGUGUCAGCACCAUGCUCAGGCCUGGUCCCACCCAGGCUUCUGGUGCAACUUGCUCUCGCACUCGCACACGCACCCCACUGAUUCUUCCUCCCUGUGAAUCACUCGCCUCUGCUUUAUCAGUUUCACCCUCUGCUAAGUCUCUUCAGCUUCUGGGAUUCUCCUGGGUCUUUGGGAGAGCCUUAACAGGACCAAGCUGUUUCUCUAAGA
Molecule: long non-coding RNA, 2439 nt
Filed under: Homo sapiens (human)
Lineage: Eukaryota; Metazoa; Chordata; Mammalia; Primates; Hominidae
Description: HSALNT0104170
Source: RNAcentral